GACGAACGCUGGCGGCGUGCUUAACACAUGCAAGUCGAACGAAGUGGCAAACGUGUGAGUAACGCGUAAUCAACCUCCCCUUCAGAGGGGGACAACAGUUGAAAACGACUGCUAAUACCGCAUAUUGAAGGAGUGGAUUGCGUGUGUUUACCUAGUUGGCGGGGUAACGGCCCACCAAGGCGAUGAUCAGGGGACGGUAUGAGAGUAUGAACGGCCACAUUGGGACUGAGAAACGGACCAGACUGCUACGGGAGGAAGCAGUGGUGAAGCUGCAGGAAUGGACGAAAGGCGGACGGAGCAACGCCGCGGGAGGGAUGACGGACUUCGGGUUGUAAAGCUAGGUUAAUCGGGACGCGGUACCGGAAUAGAAAGCAACGGCUAACUACGUGCCAGCAGCCGCGGUAAUUC
RNAcentral lists this ribosomal RNA (408 nucleotides) under uncultured bacterium. Its description in RNAcentral is "partial 16S ribosomal RNA". It matches the Rfam family "Bacterial small subunit ribosomal RNA", at positions 28 to 526 of the family's 1533-position model. The record is from RNAcentral.